CCUACGGGAGGCAGCAGUGAGGAAUAUUGGUCAAUGGCCGGGAGGCUGAACCAGCCAAGUCGCGUGAGGGAAGACGGCCCUACGGGUUGUAAACCUCUUUUGUCAGGGAGCAAGGUGCAGGUCGGGACCUGCUGUGAGAGUACCUGAAGAAAAAGCACCGGCUAACUCCGUGCCAGCAGCCGCGGUAAUACGGGGGAUGCGAGCGUUAUCCGGAUUUAAUGGGUUAAAGGGGUGCGCAGGCGGAGGCACAAGUCAGCGGUAAAAUCGCGGGGCUCAACCCGGCUCCGCCGUUGAAACUGUGGCCCUUGAGUGCGCGAAGGGUAGGCGGAAUGCGUAGUGUAGCGGUGAAAUGCAUAGAUAUCACGCAGAACUCCGAUCGCGAAGGCAGCCUACCGGCGCGCAACUGACGCUCAUGCACGAAAGCGUGGGUAUCGAACAGGAUUAGAUACCCUUGUAGUC
This 459-nucleotide ribosomal RNA is filed under the name uncultured bacterium. RNAcentral describes it as "partial 16S ribosomal RNA". It matches the Rfam family "Bacterial small subunit ribosomal RNA", at positions 338 to 795 of the family's 1533-position model. The record is from RNAcentral.